Molecule: ribosomal RNA, 400 nt
Filed under: phytoplankton environmental sample
Lineage: Eukaryota
Description: partial small subunit ribosomal RNA
Rfam family: Eukaryotic small subunit ribosomal RNA
Source: RNAcentral
AGCUCCAAUAGCGUAUAUUAAAGUUGUUGCAGUUAAAAAGCUCGUAGUUGGAUUUCUGGUUACUUUAGCCUGGUCCGCCCGGUUAACGGUGUGAGUACUGGCGCUAAUGGGCCAUCCUUCUGGGGAGUGUAUCUACCCUUGAUUGGGCCGGAUGCUCGACCUGGAUCGUUUACUUUGAAGAAAUUAGAGUGUUUAAAGCAGGCUUAUCGCUUUGAAUAUAUUAGCAUGGAAUAAUAUGAUAGGGCUUUGAUCCUAUUUUGUUGGUUUCUGGGAUUAAAGUAAUGAUUAAUAGGGACAGUUGGGGGUGCUGGUAUUUAACGGCCAGAGGUGAAAUUCUUGGAUUCGUUAAAGACCAACUUAUGCGAAAGCAUUCACCAAGGAUGUUUUCAUUAAUCAAGAA